RNAcentral lists this small RNA (1621 nucleotides) under Histoplasma ohiense. RNAcentral describes it as "hypothetical lncRNA". The record is from RNAcentral. Lineage: Eukaryota; Fungi; Ascomycota; Eurotiomycetes; Onygenales; Ajellomycetaceae.
UCUCUUUAGCUACAACCUAAGGUGGUUCUUGAAAGUCAAAGUUGAGAAAUUUGAAGAAUCUAUGAAAAUCUCAAUAAUCCCCACAGAAACGGCUUGUUAAGUGAUUUGAACCCAAUGGUUAAUCUGAGAUCGGGUGGAACGCCUGAUUUGACGAAGGACUAUGUGACGACGCGUAGAAGAAGAAAUCCCCAAACGCCCGAGGCACAACAGGGAUUGAGCACAGGUUUGCCAACGCCUGCAACCAACAAGGUGAUUGCCCCAGGGGCAUUUGAACCUGACAACACGAUCGAAGAAUCGAACGAGUCGAAUAUCAAAUACGAAGACCUGGUUAACAGCAAUGAGAUGUCAGAUAACGCGGGUGGCCCUAGUAGUCAUGUUGAUGUGAGUGAAGGAACUCGCAUGAGGUUGGAGAUCGCGAGACUGCAGCAUGAAGUCCAACAGAUGAAAGCAAGUAGGAGUGAACCCUCUGCUAGUGAUGAGAACAUUAGUGCAGAUCUGGCAAACUACCUGCAGAGAAAAGGCAGAAUGUCUGCUAUUGUGAAGAUUCUUAAUGAGUUCUGUGAUCAAGUGAGACCCAUAAGGGAGCCAGUUGUACUGACUGGAUAUGAAAACUACUCAAUGUGGAAGAAAGAGAUCCUCCUCGCAGCGAGGCAAUCUCAUACAAUUGAUAUUAUAGAUGAGAGGCAACUUGGACCCAAAGAGGAUGCCAGCACUGAUAUGCAACGAUUUUGGAAAGAAUGCAAUAUGUGGCUGUAUAACUACAUGUGGUUCGCAAUCACUCCACAAGCAAGAUCUUAUUUUAUUACACUCAAGGAACUAUCUGCCUAUGCUCUGUGGACAGCUAUAGAAGAUAUCUUUGCUGGGCGGCCUGACAGCAAUGCCAACGAUGCCAGCAAUGCCAACGAUGCCAGCAAUGCCAACGAUGCCAGCAAUGCCAACGAUGCCAACGAUGAUAUUGGUGAUGAUAUCAGCGAUGCCAGUGAUGAUAGUGGCUACGACAGUGUGGAUAUUGAUAUGGAUUCCAAGAUGGAAUGUUUGGAUGAAUUGAUGGAGGACAAUCCUACAAGUGAUAACAAUCCUACAAGCGAUGAUGGUAUGGGCGAUGAUGACCUCGAUGUCGAUAGUGACCAUGAUAUGGAUAAAGGGGGUGAUGAGCACCCUAUCAAUACAAUUGUGCGAAGAGUGAUCUAUGGGAAAGGAUGGGUGAAAGAUGGGGCAGUCCCUACCAUAAAGAACAUGGAUAUGCCUGUGAAGAGUGGAUUGUCAAAUACAACUUGGCUUGGUUUGAUGAUAAGUCAUAUGGAACGACCUUGUUGGAAGGAAAAGAAUUGGGUUAAAGGAAAUUGGCAAAGAAGAUUGAAGGUAAUGAUGGUACAGCAGAUUAUGGAAUUUUGCUUGUGUUAUCCUGUUUUUUACGGUUAUUGCCGUACGGGCGCCUAUUCCCAAAGAGGAAAUCAGGGUCCGAUUCUUGUAAUUAAUUAUUAUUGCGUUUUUAGAAGAAUUGAGCGAGGGGGGGUCCCCGGGCGGCAGAGCUUUGGCGGCGCCGUAGCACGGGGGGGUGUUAGUGGGUACUACGGCUACCCUAUCACGUGCCCCCCAACAUAUUGUGUUGCUCUCGCGU